This 250-nucleotide ribosomal RNA is filed under the name uncultured bacterium. RNAcentral's name for it is "partial 16S ribosomal RNA". It matches the Rfam family "Bacterial small subunit ribosomal RNA", at positions 28 to 303 of the family's 1533-position model. The record is from RNAcentral.
GAUGAACGCUGGCGAGAUGCCUUACACAUGCAAGUCAUACGAGGAUUUUUAAUUCAAGUGGCGGACGGGUGAGUAACACGUAAGAAUUUGCCUUUAGGAGGGGGACAACAACUGGAAACGGUUGCUAAUACCCCAUAUGCUUUAGAGUGAAACGGAUUUUUCCGCCUAAAGAGAAGCUUGCGCCUGAUUAGCUUGUUGGUAAGGUAAUGGCUUACCAAGGCGACGAUCAGUAUCUGGUUUGAGAGGAUGA